Molecule: ribosomal RNA, 372 nt
Filed under: uncultured bacterium
Lineage: Bacteria
Description: bacterial SSU rRNA
Rfam family: Bacterial small subunit ribosomal RNA
Source: RNAcentral
ACAGAGGGUGCAAGCGUUAAUCGGAAUUACUGGGCGUAAAGGGUGCGUAGGUGGUUUGUUAAGUCAGGCGUGAAAUCCUCGGGCUCAACCUGGGAACUGCGUUUGAUACUGGCAGACUAGAGUGUAGUAGAGGGUAGUGGAAUUCCCGGUGUAGCGGUGAAACGCGUAGAUAUCGGGAGGAACACCAGUGGCGAAGGCGGCUACCUGGACUAACACUGACACUGAGGCACGAAAGCGUGGGUAGCAAACAGGAUUAGAUACCCUGGUAGUCCACGCCCUAAACGAUGGGAACUAGACGUCGGGAAGCUUGUCUUCUUGGUGUCGCAGCUAACGCAAUAAGUUCCCCGCCUGGGGAGUACGGUCGCAAGAUUA